GACAGUUCCUCUUCAGACCCUCUGAUGUCACGAAAAUGAAAAGUGACACAGCAGCUGCUGCGGUGAAGCAGAUGAACCCCUCCAUCAAGAUCACAGCCCAUCAGAACAGAGUUGGUCCAGAGACUGAGAGAGUCUACGAUGACGACUUCUUUGAAAAUCUAGACGGAGUCGCCAAUGCACUGGACAACGUCGAUGCGCGUAUGUACAUGGAUCGGCGGUGUGUUUACUACCGUAAACCCCUUGCUG
This is a long non-coding RNA of Fundulus heteroclitus (mummichog), 246 nucleotides long. RefSeq lists it as uncharacterized. NCBI's taxonomy places the organism in Eukaryota, Metazoa, Chordata, Actinopteri, Cyprinodontiformes, Fundulidae. The record is from RefSeq and is a predicted model, not a curated record. The transcript has 3 exons.